Molecule: ribosomal RNA, 449 nt
Filed under: Hylemonella sp.
Lineage: Bacteria; Pseudomonadati; Pseudomonadota; Betaproteobacteria; Burkholderiales; Comamonadaceae
Description: bacterial SSU rRNA
Rfam family: Bacterial small subunit ribosomal RNA
Source: RNAcentral
GGUAAAGGCUUACCAAGCCUACGAUCUGUAGCUGGUCUGAGAGGACGACCAGCCACACUGGGACUGAGACACGGCCCAGACUCCUACGGGAGGCAGCAGUGGGGAAUUUUGGACAAUGGGCGAAAGCCUGAUCCAGCAAUGCCGCGUGCAGGAUGAAGGCCUUCGGGUUGUAAACUGCUUUUGUACGGAACGAAAAGGCGCCUACUAAUACUGGGUGUUGAUGACGGUACCGUAAGAAUAAGCACCGGCUAACUACGUGCCAGCAGCCGCGGUAAUACGUAGGGUGCGAGCGUUAAUCGGAAUUACUGGGCGUAAAGCGUGCGCAGGCGGUGUUGUAAGACAGUUGUGAAAUCCCCGGGCUCAACCUGGGAACUGCAUCUGUGACUGCAAUGCUGGAGUGCGGCAGAGGGGGAUGGAAUUCCGCGUGUAGCAGUGAAAUGCGUAGAUAU